RNAcentral lists this ribosomal RNA (288 nucleotides) under Ligilactobacillus salivarius. RNAcentral describes it as "Lactobacillus salivarius partial 16S ribosomal RNA". It matches the Rfam family "Bacterial small subunit ribosomal RNA", at positions 163 to 445 of the family's 1533-position model. Lineage: Bacteria; Bacillati; Bacillota; Bacilli; Lactobacillales; Lactobacillaceae. The record is from RNAcentral.
CUAAUACCGUAUAUCUCUAAGGAUCGCAUGAUCCUUAGAUGAAAGAUGGUUCUGCUAUCGCUUUUAGAUGGACCCGCGGCGUAUUAACUAGUUGGUGGGGUAACGGCCUACCAAGGUGAUGAUACGUAGCCGAACUGAGAGGUUGAUCGGCCACAUUGGGACUGAGACACGGCCCAAACUCCUACGGGAGGCAGCAGUAGGGAAUCUUCCACAAUGGACGCAAGUCUGAUGGAGCAACGCCGCGUGAGUGAAGAAGGUCUUCGGAUCGUAAAACUCUGUUGUUAGAGA